GCGCGACGGCGUCGGCGCGAGGGCGCGGGGUUGGCGGUUUGGGCGGGCUCGCGAGGGCCGGCGACGGCGCGGGGUCCGGGGCUCCGGGCUCGCCCCCGCCUCUCCGGCCAGGCGCGCCUAUGGCGUUUCUAAGGUGACGCUGCCGCACCGACCACACCUAUGAACCCUCCGGCGAUCUUCCUCGCCGGGCGCCAGAACAUCGAGUCAGAAGUUGAGAAUUCCACUAUUGAGAAACAACGGAAGGAACUGCAUCUGCUCAUUGGAGAACUGAAAGAUCGCGAUAAAGAGCUCAAUGAUAUGGUCGCAGUGCAUCAAAGACAACUUCUUUCAUGGGAAGAAGAUCGGCAGAAAGUGUUGACUCUGGAGGAACGUUGCAGCAAAUUAGAAGGUGAGCUACAAAAAAGAACUGAAAUAAUCAAGUCACUCAUGAAGAAGGUGAAAGUCCUUGAAUCCAAUCAAAUCGAAUGUCAAACAGCUCUUCGAAAGACUCAGCUACAGCUUCAGGAGAUGGUUCAAAAAGCAACACAUUCUUCCCUCCUCUCUGAAGACCUUGAGGCUAGAAAUGAAAGUCUCAGCAACACAUUAGUGGAACUUUCUGCUCAAGUAGGACAAUUACAAGCUAGAGAACAGGCUCUCACUACAAUGAUAAAGCUAAAGGACAAAGAUAUUAUUGAGGCAGUCAAUCACAUUGCCGAUUGUUCGGGUAAAUUUAAAUUGUUAGAGCAUGCUUUACGUGAUGCUAAGAUGGUGGAGACUUGUAUCGUGAAAGAAAAGCAGGAUUAUAAGCAGAAAUUGAAGGCACUUAAGAUUGAAGUCAACAAACUAAAAGAGGACCUAAAUGAAAAGACAACAGAAAACAACGAACAACGAGAAGAGAUUAUUCGCCUCAAGCAAGAGAAAAGUUGCCUGCAUGAUGAAUUGUUUUUUACUGUGGAGAGAGAAAAGAGGAAAGAUGAGUUACUUGAUAUUGCAAAGUCAAAGCAAGAACGCACAAAUUCAGAGCUGCAUAAUCUGAGACAGGUUUAUGUAAAACAACAGAGUGAUCUGCAGUUUCUUAAUUUUAAUGUGGAAAAUUGUCAGGAAUUGAUACAGAUAUAUGAUUCAAAGAUGGAGGAAUCAGAGGUUCUAGAAUCCAGCAGAGACAUGUGUUUAUCAGACCUUGAAAAUAACCACCCAAAAGUCGAUAUUAAGAGGGAGAAAAAUCAGAAGUCACUGGUUAAGGACCAAAAAUUUGAGGCCAUAUUGGCUCAGCAAAAUAGGUCAGACAAGAACUCUUGUGAUAUAUGCAAAGAGAAGAAACUACAGAUUAAUACUGCAUUUGGGGAAAAAAAUAUAAUUACUGUAUCAUCUCUGCUUACUAAAGACUUAGCGGAAAAACAAAAGUCUUGGUCUCUGGGCGGAAAAAUCCAGAUUGAACCUAAAAACAAAAUUACAUUGUGCAAGAGCCAUGCAAAAUCAGCAAAAAGUAAUGGAAUUGGGCUUCAGAAUGAAGAGAAACAGCUCUCAGAAACAUCUGUAUCGUUACCUGAUGAAAAGCAGUGGCAUGAUGUCAAUGUCUACCUGGGCCUGGCCAACAGUCCUGGUUCAAAACAAGCAGAGAAGCUGGAGGUGGAAUGUCAUGAGGCAACAGAAAGAUCUGAAAUCUCUUGUUGCCCGAAAGAUGGAGGCUGUCUGGGUGAGAGUGAGCUGUGUGAGUCCAAGUGCUGCCACCCAAGUAACCUCAUCAUCGAAGCCCCAGGCCACAUGUCUGAUGCUGAGUGGAUGAACAUUUUCAAGCCUUCCAAAGUAGAGAGGAUUGUUCGCCACAAGACUGUGUGCACUUGUUCAGGAAGUGGAACGAAAUGCAGUUCCUCGGCCAGUGAAUUUAUUGCCAUCCAGCAUUCCCACUGCCUGGGUUCAAAAUCUGCAGUAAGAGAAGGUGAGACUGAGGCCCUGCUUGACAAAAAGAGCUCAUCCACGGGCUCACUACCCAGCAAAGAUGCAGCAAUGUCCAACGAACAGGAUGACUGCUCCCCCACAAGUAAGCUUCAGCGCUUGCUGGCAGAGUCUCGGCAAAUGGUCACCGAUCUGGAGCUGAGCACACUGCUGCCCAUCAGCUCUGAGAAUCUCAACAGCAGUGACAGAAGUAACUUAGACCUCUCAGAAGAGUCAGCUCAAAAAAAUACCAUAGUCAGUCAUUGAAGGAAAGAAAGUCAACUUCACUUUUCAUCAUGAUCAUGAGAAGUGUUUCUUGGGCUGUGUUUUCUUCUAUCAGACCUUCAUGUCACAUGCAGUCUCCUCAGGAUCCAAUUUGAUAACUUAAGUAGCACAGACUGCAGAUGUUUUCCAUAUUCUCAUCUACGUGGAAGGCAGAAAGAAGACAUCCAUACGACACACUUCACCUGAAGACAAAGAGGCACUUGAUACCAAAAGGAAGAGAAACUGAAAGGUUGAUUUGUUAAACAUCUGCAUUUUGUUUGUUUUCAAUUGACCAUUUUUUCCCAUAAGAAAUAUUUGCAUGUAUAAGAAAUGAGGCUUCAGUAUACAUACAUAAAUUUGGGAUUAUGUAAAGAUCAGUAUUAGAGAAGCUCUUCAGAGAAGGAGAACCCCAUGUGAAAAAUGCCACUCUAUCUGCUAUCUUAAAACCUGGGUGUACAUUCAAGUUAUAACCAACAGCUUGUCAGUGUCUGCUCCAAAAUGGUAUUUUCUCCUAAAAUUCUAAGUUUUAUUGCUGAAUUUUGCUGUGCUCAUAGACAUGAGAUGAGAUGGUAUAAAAUGUUUUUAAUGGUACGUCACUUUGGUUGCUGGCAGUUGAGGUCUGUCUGUCCGAAACCGACAGAGCCGCAUCUUGUCUGGGUCUCUAGUAGUCAGUCUACUUACACAAACAAAAGUUUGCUGGAAGAUCAAGUUUUGUAUGGAGUUUUUUUGUAGUAACGACUAAAAGACUUCCAUUUUAACUUGUAAUUUAAUUUUUAAAAAGAAUAUACUUUGUACCUGUGUCCCUUCUAAGUGAA
Castor canadensis (American beaver) is the source of this 2993-nucleotide RNA transcript. It is a transcript of the gene named coiled-coil domain containing 62, with no coding region annotated. Lineage: Eukaryota; Metazoa; Chordata; Mammalia; Rodentia; Castoridae. The record is from RefSeq and is a predicted model, not a curated record.